GCAUAUCAAUAAGCGGAGGAAAAGAAACCAACAGGGAUUGCCCUAGUAACGGCGAAGUGAAGCGGCAACAGCUCAAAUUUGAAAUCUGGCCGCAAGGCCCGAGUUGUAAUUUGUAGAGGAUGCUUUGGGCGCGGCGCCUUCCGAGUUCCCUGGAACGGGACGCCAUAGAGGGUGAGAGCCCCGUCUGGUUGGAUGCCUAGCCUAUGUAAAGCUCCUUCGACGAGUCGAGUAGUUUGGGAAUGCUGCUCAAAAUGGGAGGUAUAUGUCUUCUAAAGCUAAAUACCGGCCAGAGACCGAUAGCGCACAAGUAGAGUGAUCGAAAGAUGAAAAGCACUUUGAAAAGAGGGUUAAAUAGUACGUGAAAUUGUUCAGAGGGAAGCGUUUCUGACCAGACUUGGGCUCGGUGAAUCAUCCAGCGUUCUCGCUGGUGCACUUUGCCGGUCCAGGCCAACAUCAGUUCGUCGCGGGGGAUAAAGGCUUCGGGAAAGUGGCCCCCUCGGGGGUGUUAUAGACCGUUGUGCAAUACCCUGCGAUGGACUGAGGUUCGCGCUCCGCAAGGAUGUUGGCGUAAUGGUCAUCAACGACCCGUCUUGAAACACGGACCAAGGAGUCGUCUUCGUAUGCGAGUGUUCGGGUGUCAAACCCCUACGCGUAAUGAAAGUGAACGGAGGUGAGAGCUACGGCGCAUCAUCGACCGAUCCUGAUGUUCUCGGAUGGAUUUGAGUAAGAGCAUACGGGGCCGGACCCGAAAGAAGGUGAACUAUGCCUGUAUAGGGUGAAGCCAGAGGAAACUCUGGUGGAGGCUCGCAGCGGUUCUGACGUGCAAAUCGAUCGUCAAAUAUGGGCAUGGGGGCGAAAGACUAAUCGAACCUUCUAGUAGCUGGUUUCCGCGA
This 893-nucleotide ribosomal RNA is filed under the name Parapyrenis maritima. Its description in RNAcentral is "LSU rRNA". It matches the Rfam family "Eukaryotic large subunit ribosomal RNA", at positions 38 to 963 of the family's 3401-position model. The record is from RNAcentral. Lineage: Eukaryota; Fungi; Ascomycota; Sordariomycetes; Xylariales; Requienellaceae.